This 253-nucleotide ribosomal RNA is filed under the name uncultured bacterium. RNAcentral describes it as "partial 16S ribosomal RNA". It matches the Rfam family "Bacterial small subunit ribosomal RNA", at positions 524 to 776 of the family's 1533-position model. The record is from RNAcentral.
UACGGGGGGGGCAAGCGUUGUUCGGAAUUACUGGGCGUAAAGGGCUCGUAGGCGGCCAACUAAGUCAGACGUGAAAUCCCUCGGCUUAACCGGGGAACUGCGUCUGAUACUGGAUGGCUUGAGAUUGGGAGAGGGAUGCGGAAUUCCAGGUGUAGCGGUGAAAUGCGUAGAUAUCUGGAGGAACACCGGUGGCGAAGGCGGCAUCCUGGACCAACACUGACACUGAGGAGCGAAAGCCAGGGGAGCAAACGGG